GACGAACGCUGGCGGCGUGCCUAAUACAUGCAAGUCGAACGCAGUGGGGACGGGUGAGUAACACGUGGGUAACCUCCCAUCAGAGGGGAUAACACUUGGAAACAGGUGCUAAACCGAUACUGAUGGAUGGACCCGCGGUGCAUUAGCUAGGUGGUGAGGUAACGGCUCACCAAGGCCACGAUGCAUAGCCGACCUGAUAGGGUGAUCGGCAACACUGGGACUGAGCCACGGCCCAGACCCCUACGGGAGGCAGCAGUGGGGAAUAUUGGACAAUGGGCGCAAGCCUGAUGCAGCCAUGCCGCGUGGAUGAAGAAGGCCUUCGGGUUGUAAAGUACUUUCAGCGGGGAAGCGUUACCCGAAGAAGAAGCACCGGCUAACUCCGUGCCAGCAGCCGCGGUAAUUC
This 403-nucleotide ribosomal RNA is filed under the name uncultured bacterium. Its description in RNAcentral is "partial 16S ribosomal RNA". It matches the Rfam family "Bacterial small subunit ribosomal RNA", at positions 28 to 526 of the family's 1533-position model. The record is from RNAcentral.